AUUGAACGCUGGCGGCAGGCCUAACACAUGCAAGUCGAGCGGAUGAAGGGAGCUUGCUCCUGGAUUCAGCGGCGGACGGGUGAGUAAUGCCUAGGAAUCUGCCUGGUAGUGGGGGAUAACGUCCGGAAACGGGCGCUAAUACCGCAUACGUCCUGAGGGAGAAAGUGGGGGAUCUUCGGACCUCACGCUAUCAGAUGAGCCUAGGUCGGAUUAGCUAGUUGGUGGGGUAAAGGCCUACCAAGGCGACGAUCCGUAACUGGUCUGAGAGGAUGAUCAGUCACACUGGAACUGGGACACGGUCCAUAGUCCUACGGGAGGCAGCAGUGGGGAAUAUUGGGCAAUGGGCGAAAGCCUGAUCCAGCCAUGCCGCGUGUGUGAAGAAGGUCUUCGGAUUGUAAAGCACGUUAAGUUGGGAGGAAGGGCAGUAAGUUAAUACCUUGCUGUUUUGACGUUACCAACAGAAGAAGCACCGGCUAACUUCGUG
RNAcentral lists this ribosomal RNA (484 nucleotides) under uncultured bacterium. RNAcentral's name for it is "partial 16S ribosomal RNA". It matches the Rfam family "Bacterial small subunit ribosomal RNA", at positions 30 to 507 of the family's 1533-position model. The record is from RNAcentral.